This 372-nucleotide ribosomal RNA is filed under the name uncultured Desulfobulbus sp. RNAcentral describes it as "bacterial SSU rRNA". It matches the Rfam family "Bacterial small subunit ribosomal RNA", at positions 1012 to 1382 of the family's 1533-position model. Lineage: Bacteria; Pseudomonadati; Thermodesulfobacteriota; Desulfobulbia; Desulfobulbales; Desulfobulbaceae. The record is from RNAcentral.
UGCUUCCAUCUGGAGAAAUCUGGAGACAGGUGCUGCAUGGCUGUCGUCAGCUCGUGUCGUGAGAUGUUGGGUUAAGUCCCGCAACGAGCGCAACCCUUGCCUUUAGUUGCCAGCAGUUCGGCUGGGCACUCUAAAGGGACUGCCGGUGUUAAACCGGAGGAAGGUGGGGAUGACGUCAAGUCCUCAUGGCCUUUAUGACCAGGGCUACACACGUACUACAAUGGCCGAUACAAGGGCAGCGACACUGCGAGGUGAAGCCAAUCCCGUAAAAUCGGUCUCAGUCCGGAUUGGAGUCUGCAACUCGACUCCAUGAAGUUGGAAUCGCUAGUAAUCGUGGAUCAGCAUGCCACGGUGAAUACGUUCCCGGGCCUU